This 440-nucleotide ribosomal RNA is filed under the name uncultured bacterium. RNAcentral's name for it is "partial 16S ribosomal RNA". It matches the Rfam family "Bacterial small subunit ribosomal RNA", at positions 338 to 795 of the family's 1533-position model. The record is from RNAcentral.
CCUACGGGUGGCAGCAGUGGGGGAUAUUGCACAAUGGGGGGAACCCUGAUGCAGCGACGCCGCGUGGGUGAAGAAGCGCCUCGGCGCGUAAAGCCCUGUCAGCAGGGAAGAAAAUGACGGUACCUGAAGAGGAAGCCCCGCCUAAAUCCGUGCCAGGAGCUGCGGUAAUACGUAGGGGGCAAGCGUUUUCCGGAUUUACGGGGUGUAAGGGGGGCGCAGAGGGCGAUGCACGCCAGGAGUGAAAGCCCGGGGCCCAACCCCGGGACUGCUGUUGGAACUGCGUGGCUGGAGUGCAGGAGGGGCAGGCGGAAUUCCUGGUGUAGCGGUGAAAUGCGUAGAUAUCAGGAGGAACACCGGUGGCGAAGGCGGCCUGCUGGACUGCAACUGACGUUGAGGCCCGAAAGCGUGGGGAGCAAACAGGAUUAGAUACCCCAGUAGUC